UGUCUGCAGACUGGUGUGUGUUGUGAGGAUGGAGAAGUCCCACAGCAGCAUCCUGGAAAUGGUCCAGUGACACAGAUGAGACACUCCAUCACUCCACCUGCCCUAACUGUCUCAUCCAGCAGGAACAUCUAGAGAAAGACCAAAAGACACUGAGGAUUUGAUUUUGGGGCCUACAAUGCCCUGAUCAACCUGGAGAAAAGAGCCUUGCUCAGGGACAUACUGGUGGUUUUAAACCAGCAACCUUCUGCACACCAGUUGUGUGAUUCAGAGAGCCGUCAUCAUGGUCUUCCUCAUCCUGUUGCUCAACGACAUCCCCUUUUGAGAAAAGCGCAGCAGCAGAAUUGGCACAGGUGUGUUGAGAUGAUAGUAGGAUGUUGGUUUCACCAUCUGUAAAUACAUGAUUGUUAGAACAAUAAGUUUGAAUGAAGCUUUGUUUCAUGUGCCAUAUGACUUGUAUAUGUUUUUAUUUAUUGUGAAGCUAACUUUUAUACAUUAUUUCAAUCAUUUAUUUAUGUUUCUUGUUGUCAGUAAAUAAAUAUAAAUAUUUUAUUAAUUCAUGUAUUCAUUGCUUGAUUGAAAAUGUAUGUAUUCACAUCGACUGCAUUUGUUCAACUA
Molecule: long non-coding RNA, 615 nt
Organism: Carassius gibelio (silver crucian carp)
Lineage: Eukaryota; Metazoa; Chordata; Actinopteri; Cypriniformes; Cyprinidae
Exons: 3
Source: RefSeq, a predicted model, not a curated record